AAUUUGUAUCCACCAUGAUUGAGAUUAGAAUAUGAAAUGUCACAUGAAUGAUAUGUGCUGCUUGUUGGUAAGAAGCAGAAACUAGUUGCAACCAUCUGUGUUCAUGCAUAUAGCAUUGAGUAGUUCGGUGACGUCAAUUCAUAAGGCAGCUCUUCUCUUCCCAGAAUGUUAGCAAACAUAUGGAGAGAGGUUUUUUUUGUUUGUUUGUCUGCAACCAUUGUUUCCUGUUUGCUCAGAUAGAUUCUGCAUGUUAGUUCUCUGCUGUAUUUGUAGACACACUCAGCCUGGGUGAAAAGCUUUUUUUCCUUUCCUGGUUUUUUUUGUUUGUUUAUUGGAGACAGGGUCUUGCUUUGUUGCCCAGGCUAUAGUGCAGUGGUGCAAUCACAUCUCACCACAGCCUUGAUUUUCUGGGCUCAGGUGAUCCUCCCACCUCAGCCUUCCGAGUAUCUCACACCACAGGGGUAUACCACCACACCUGGCUAGUUUUUUUAAAAAAUUUUUUGUAGAGACAGGGUCUCCCUAUGUUGCCCAGGCUGGUCUUAAAAGUCCUGGGCUCAAGCAGUCCACCCACCUCGGCCUCCCAAAGUGGUGGGAUUAUGGUUGUGAGCUACCAGGCCCACCUAGCUUUUAAAAAUGUCUUGGGAAAAGGGUGAAACAGACUAGAAGUUGAUUGUAUUGUAAGUGUAGGAAAGUAAGGAGAAAGUUUCCGGGUGUGAACAUUCUAGGUUUGAACACUGGGAAGGAGGGAAGGCAGCCAUGCAUUGUAGUCUCUUAAGUGAAAGUUUAUCCAAUUUACCAACUGAUAUUAUAGACCUUAAAAUAUUUUGUAAUUGUAUAAAGCAAGUUAUUAUAAUUGCCUGUUGGUGUGAUGUGUGUAUUUUGUGACUCAUAACUCAAUGGCAUUUCUUUCUAAAUUUUAAAAAAGUUGCUUUUACCUUACAUUUUCUACAAGAUACUAAAUAAUUUAUUUCAUUUUCAGAAUGGUGAGGUUCUGGAGAAUUGAUGAGGAUUAUCCAGUGCAAGUUGCACCUUUGAGCAAUGGUCUUUGCUGUGCCUUCUCUACUGAUGGCAGUGUUUUAGCUGCUGGGACACAUGACGGAAGUGUGUAUUUUUGGGCCACUCCACGGCAGGUCCCUAGCCUGCAACAUUUAUGUCGCAUGUCAAUCCGAAGAGUGAUGCCCACCCAAGAAGUUCAGGAGCUGCCGAUUCCUUCCAAGCUUUUGGAGUUUCUCUCGUAUCGUAUUUAGAAGAUUCUGCCUUCCCUAGUAGUAGGGACUGACAGAAUACACUUAACACAAACCUCAAGCUUUACUGACUUCAAUUAUCUGUUUUUAAAGACGUAGAAGAUUUAUUUAAUUUGAUAUGUUCUUGUACUGCAUUUUGAUCAGUUGAGCUUUUAAAAUAUUAUUUAUAGACAAUAGAAGUAUUUCUGAACAUAUCAAAUAUAAAUUUUUUUAAAGAUCUAACUGUGAAAACAUACAUACCUGUACAUAUUUAGAUAUAAGCUGCUAUAUGUUGAAUGGACCCUUUUGCUUUUCUGAUUUUUAGUUCUGACAUGUAUAUAUUGCUUCAGUAGAGCCACAAUAUGUAUCUUUGCUGUAAAGUGCAAGGAAAUUUUAAAUUCUGGGACACUGAGUUAGAUGGUAAAUACUGACUUACGAAAGUUGAAUUGGGUGAGGCGGGCAAAUCACCUGAGGUCAGCAGUUUGAGACUAGCCUGGCAAACAUGAUGAAACCCUGUCUCUACU
Molecule: long non-coding RNA, 1747 nt
Filed under: Homo sapiens (human)
Lineage: Eukaryota; Metazoa; Chordata; Mammalia; Primates; Hominidae
Description: HSALNT0238819
Source: RNAcentral